This 356-nucleotide ribosomal RNA is filed under the name uncultured bacterium. RNAcentral describes it as "bacterial SSU rRNA". It matches the Rfam family "Bacterial small subunit ribosomal RNA", at positions 8 to 350 of the family's 1533-position model. The record is from RNAcentral.
AGAGUUUGAUCCUGGCUCAGGAUGAACGCUAGCUACAGGCUUAACACAUGCAAGUCGAGGGGAAACGACAUCGAAAGCUUGCUUUUGUAUGGGCGUCGACCGGCGCACGGGUGAGUAACGCGUAUCCAACCUGCCCACCACUUGGGGAUAACCUUGCGAAAGUAAGACUAAUACCCAAUGACGUCUCUAGAAGACAUCUGAAGGAGAUUAAAGAAUCUAUCGGUGAUGGAUGGGGAUGCGUCUGAUUAGCUUGUUGGCGGGGUAACGGCCCACCAAGGCGACGAUCAGUAGGGGUUCUGAGAGGAAGGUCCCCCACAUUGGAACUGAGACACGGUCCAAAACUCCUACGGGAGGCA